RNA transcript from Panonychus citri (citrus red mite), 1756 nucleotides. It is a transcript of the gene named proline-rich protein PRCC-like, with no coding region annotated. The record is from RefSeq and is a predicted model, not a curated record. The transcript is spliced from 4 exons. NCBI's taxonomy places the organism in Eukaryota, Metazoa, Arthropoda, Arachnida, Trombidiformes, Tetranychidae.
UUGUUUUUAUUUAUGCAUUGAUGUCAAGUUGAAAGAUUUACUUUAAAUUGUUACCAGUUAAUUUGAUUCCAUUUUUUAUGUUAUUCAUUUCUUAGUGUAUUUAAUAGCUUUAAUUGUUACUCUCAACUAUGCCAUUAGUUGCUUAUGACACAAGUGAUGAUGAAGAUUCACCAGGAGAUGAAAAGAUUGAGUCGCCAGUAAAAUCUGUUGUUUCUGUUACUGGAAAAGUUGAUUAUCCAGCUAAUAGUCAAUCGGUUGAUGGUAAAUUAUUAGCGAAUAACAAUUCUGUUGGUAUAGUAAAUGGCUGUUCUAUUCCUGAUGAUGAUGAUUAUGAUGAUGAUGAUGAUGAUGAUGGUGACAUUGGUUAUUCUGUUGGUACAAAAGGAAAUGAUUUGGUAGAUGAUCUUGAAUCUUCUAGUAAAUUAUUGGGAAAAUUACCUGGUAUUGGAAAGAAAUUACCUGCACCUUCAACUCUUUCAACUGGUUUGAGUGAUAUUGUGGUGGUUGAUAAAAAAUCUAAACGAAUUAAGGUGGUUAUUCCUUCAAUCGAUGAAUUGGAUUAUGCUUCGGAAGAAGAGGAAGAGGAAGUUGGUCCAAAGAGGAAAAUAAUUCCAGCAGGAGGAUGUUCCUUGUCCUCUUUUCUACCUAAACCCAAAAAUGCUCCUCCAAGAUACAAUUGCAAUAAUUUAUUCUCUACACCUUUAGCCGAUAAUUCAUCACCUUCACCCUCAUCAUCUUCUUUCAAUUCAUCUGUAAAAUCAGUUGCCUCUCUAGUUCCACACUCAGUUUCACGGCCGAAGACCAAAAUACCACCAAAACGACCUCAAAAUGUACCCAUCAAAUCAGAUGAAGAUAUUGAAGACUCAGGUUCUGUUGAUUUCUUUUCACUUGGUGAUGUUUCCCAAUCAAUCUCACAAAAUGAUAACCAUUUGGACACCAAUAUAAACAAAAUAAUACCAAUUGUAGUACCCAAACCUGAGACAGAAUCUUCAUUCAAUGAAAUGAUGAUGAACAAAUUAGCAAAUGAGACUAGUACUUCAAGUUAUUACGCUUAUCCACAAGCUCAAGCUACCACCUCAUCCAAGAAAUAUCAUCCAUCAACAGCUGAUAUUAAUGAUCCUGAUUACAAGAAAUUUGUUGCUUCCAAAUUUGGUGAAGAAACAGCUGAUAAAAUCAACAUUGUUGAAGUAAAUGUUGGCAAUUAUUUAGCCAAUGAUACGGAAUUACUCAGAUCAAUUAGCAUGGAAAGUGGAUCAACAUCGGUAAAAGGACCAGCACCAAGUCCACUAGCUAAGCGAAAAAAUCAAAUCACUUACCUUGCCUAUCAAGCUAAACAACGGGAAUUGGACCUUAAAAACGAAGCAGCAAACAAUAGAUUCACUAAAUCUCAGACAAGAGCCAAAUAUGGUUUCUAAAUUGUUACAAAAUUAAAAUUCCACCAACAAUCAAACAAAUGACCUUGAAUGUUGAACGCAGUUUGACCUUUAAAUUGACCUAAGCCACUGGAAUUGGAGGUGUUAACAUCGGAAAUUAUCGAGAAUUUGAGGAUUAACCUGAUCCGAUUGGAAUAAUUCUGUUGCUUUGUACAUCGUCUUCCAAUUUGGUUGAUUUGAGAAUUGAUCUUCCGUCAAAUUAAAAUAUUGUGUCUCAUAAUCAAGGAUCACUCCUUGUUCAUCCAUUUGGUAAAUUCUGUAACCUGGAUUAGUCUGAGAAUAAGAUGUUAAUGAUGGAGCAAUAAAAGCAAAUCCAAUUGGAA